RNAcentral lists this unclassified non-coding RNA (241 nucleotides) under Hevea brasiliensis (rubber tree). Lineage: Eukaryota; Viridiplantae; Streptophyta; Magnoliopsida; Malpighiales; Euphorbiaceae. The record is from RNAcentral.
AUGGAUUAUAGGAAUGACAGUGGAGUAAUUGUAAACUGUGAUGAGAUAGAGAGAGGAAUUAGGUGUUUGAUGAAGCAUGAUGGUGAGAAAAGGAGGAAGGUGAAGGAGAUUAGUGAGAAAAGUAGAAGGGCUUUAAUGGAAGGUGGAUCUUCGUACUCUUAUUUAGGCAGUCUAAUAAAAGAUGUAACGGAUAAUUUAUCAUAAAAUAAUUGUAAUAAAGUUUAAUUUUUAUUUAUAGUUA